UUGAUAGAGGCGCGGAGUUUAUCAGUAGCUUAGAGUAUUUAAGGCAAUUAGCUUUAAGUGAAAGGAAAUUCUGCCGAAGACAGGUUGGUUUGCCUUAAACCGCUUGCCUGGGUCGUCGGGUAACACCCGCCGGACUGUCGCAUUUUUGCGGAGGGCUAUCAG
RNAcentral lists this non-coding RNA (162 nucleotides) under bovine gut metagenome. RNAcentral's name for it is "Lysine riboswitch". It matches the Rfam family "Lysine riboswitch aptamer". From Rfam's summary of the family: Riboswitches are metabolite binding domains within certain messenger RNAs that serve as precision sensors for their corresponding targets. The record is from RNAcentral.